Molecule: ribosomal RNA, 166 nt
Filed under: Clostridiales bacterium
Lineage: Bacteria; Bacillati; Bacillota; Clostridia; Eubacteriales
Description: partial 16S ribosomal RNA
Rfam family: Bacterial small subunit ribosomal RNA
Source: RNAcentral
UUUAAUUAAGAGUUUGAUCCUGGCUCAGGAUGAACGCUGGCGGCGUGCCUAACACAUGCAAGUCGAGCGAGAAGCUCAUGACGGACGCUUCGGUUGAAGUCACGAGUGGAAAGCGGCGGACGGGUGAGUAACGCGUAGGCAACCUGCCCUUUGCAGAGGGAUAGCC